AACCCUGUGGCUCAGUUGCUAGAGCAUUGCGCUACCAACGCAAAGGUUGUGGGUUCAAAUGCCCAGGGAAA
This 71-nucleotide transfer RNA is filed under the name Danionella cerebrum. RNAcentral's name for it is "tRNA-Gly". It matches the Rfam family "tRNA". Rfam says of the family: Transfer RNA (tRNA) molecules are approximately 80 nucleotides in length. The record is from RNAcentral. Lineage: Eukaryota; Metazoa; Chordata; Actinopteri; Cypriniformes; Danionidae.